CCAACGAACAGGUGAAACUGCCGCAUGAUCUGUAUCAUUCCUCGAGCAAAGGAGGAAAGUUAAGAUCAUGCUGGCAGCUUCAUCUGAUAGUGGUG
Molecule: microRNA precursor, 95 nt
Filed under: Citrus x clementina
Lineage: Eukaryota; Viridiplantae; Streptophyta; Magnoliopsida; Sapindales; Rutaceae
Description: Citrus clementina miRNA MIR167_1
Source: RNAcentral